Molecule: ribosomal RNA, 515 nt
Filed under: uncultured bacterium
Lineage: Bacteria
Description: bacterial SSU rRNA
Rfam family: Bacterial small subunit ribosomal RNA
Source: RNAcentral
AUGGCUCAGAUUGAACGCUGGCGGCGUGCUUAACACAUGCAAGUCGCGCGUGAAAGGACUUCGGUCCGAGUAAAGCGGCGCACGGGUGAGUAACGCGUGGAUGAUCUACCCAUGAGAUAGGAAUAACGGCUGGAAACGGUCGCUAAUACCAAAUACGCUCCGAUUUCAACUUCGGGGGAAAGGUGGCCUCUGCUUGCAAGCUACUGCUCAUGGAUGAGUCCGCGUCCCAUUAGCUAGUUGGUGGGGUAACGGCCCACCAAGGCGACGAUGGGUAGCCGGUCUGAGAGGAUGACCGGCCACACUGGGACUGGAACACGGCCCAGACUCCUACGGGAGGCAGCAGUGGGGAAUAUUGCGCAAUGGGCGAAAGCCUGACGCAGCGACGCCGCGUGAGGGAUGAAAGGUCCUCGGAUCGUAAACCUCUGUCAGGAGGGAAGAACCGCCACGGUGCUAAUCAGCCGUGGUCUGACGGUACCUCCAAAGGAAGCACCGGCUAACUCCGUGCCAGCAGCUGC